GUACUACGUGGGAAUUGCUGGAGAUACUAUUAGGACUUGAGACCGGGAGAGGUUAGAGGUACUCCCAGGGUAGAGGUGAAAUUCUGUAAUCCUGGGAGGACCGCCUGUUGCGAAGGCGUCUAACUGGAACGGUUCUGACGGUGAGGGACGAAAGUUAGGGGCGCGAACCGGAUUAGAUACCCGGGUAGUCCUAACUGUAAACGAUGCGGACUUGGUGUUGGGGUGGCUUUGAGCUGCUUCAGUGCCGAAGGGAAGCUGUUAAGUCCGCCGCCUGGGAAGUACGGUCGCAAGACUGAAACUUAAGGAAUUGGCGGGGGAGCACCACAACGCGUGGAGCCUGCCGGUUUAAUUGGAUUCAACGCCGGACAUCUCACCAGAGGCGACAGCUGUAUGAUAGCCAGGUUGAUGACUUUGCUUGACUAGCUGAGAGGAGGUGCAUGG
This 441-nucleotide ribosomal RNA is filed under the name uncultured archaeon. RNAcentral describes it as "bacterial SSU rRNA". It matches the Rfam family "Archaeal small subunit ribosomal RNA", at positions 557 to 997 of the family's 1478-position model. The record is from RNAcentral.